This 404-nucleotide ribosomal RNA is filed under the name uncultured bacterium. Its description in RNAcentral is "bacterial SSU rRNA". It matches the Rfam family "Bacterial small subunit ribosomal RNA", at positions 355 to 774 of the family's 1533-position model. The record is from RNAcentral.
UGGGGAAUAUUGCACAAUGGAGGAAACUCUGAUGCAGCGACGCCGCGUGAGUGAAGAAGGUCUUCGGAUCGUAAAACUCUGUCCUUGGUGACGAAAAAAAUGACGGUAGCCAAGGAGGAAGCCCCGGCUAACUACGUGCCAGCAGCCGCGGUAAUACGUAAGGGGCGAGCGUUGUCCGGAUUUACUGGGCGUAACGGGUGAGUAGGCGGUAAUAUGUGUCAGAUGUAAAAGGCUAUGGCUUAACCAUAGUUGGCAUUUGAAACUGUAUUACUUGAGUGCAGGAGAGGUAAGUGGAAUUCCUAGUGUAGCGGUGAAAUGCGUAGAUAUUAGGAGGAACACCAGUGGCGAAGGCGACUUACUGGACUGUAACUGACGCUGAGUCACGAAAGCGUGGGUAGCAAACA